GGAGGAGAACCAGCAGCUGAAUAGUGUCAAACCUUCCUCAAACUUAGUUAAAUUCAGAAGGUGGUGCGGUCGGGAUUGGACCAUCAUCAAGACAGGAACGACCCACAGGUGGAGCAGGGACGUCACACCAACGAGAUGUCUAGGAUACCCGAUACACGGGAACCUACUUUUGCAAGGAAUUAAGUAGAUGCAUUCUAAAUCACAAUGUAUUUUGUAGGGAUCAAUGUACUGAAUGUAUAACUUUUAUUAGAUCCUUUUUGUUUAAAAUUUGUGAUGGCUAUUAGAAGUAUAAGAGUGCAAACUCAUGUCCAUGUAUAUAUAUUUUUAAUAUGAACUUCAAAUCAUGCAACCUUAAUAUUAUGUGUUUGUGUAAGAUUCGCU
Molecule: long non-coding RNA, 381 nt
Organism: Populus trichocarpa (black cottonwood)
Lineage: Eukaryota; Viridiplantae; Streptophyta; Magnoliopsida; Malpighiales; Salicaceae
Exons: 3
Source: RefSeq, a predicted model, not a curated record